AUGGAAAGGGGAAGAAGAGUGAAGGUGAGGGCGACGGGCACGCGACCUGUGGGCGGGGCUCCGGUGGCGCGGCCUGGCAUGUGCGAGGAUGAGGCACGUGGUCACGUAUCCGUUCCUGGGGAGGCCUUGGACGGCUGGCGGCUUGAGCUCCAGGCGGCAGGGGGAGCUCCUGAAGAGAGAGAGAAGAUGUGUGAGGGUGAGAAAGACAGAGGAAAGGAGAAGGAUGGGAAGGAAACAGAGGAGAUGGACGCGACGGUCCUGCUGGUUCUGGUUGCCGGCGACAGGGCACUGGCGGAUCUGGCCGUGGGAGAGCGGAGGAGGCCGCAUCCGUGCGGUGGCAGGAGAAGAAGAUGGAGGCGGAGGAAUGGAGAUAUUCUGUGGAUAAGGGUAACGCAGUGCGUCUCGGUGGGGAUUUGCCUGUUGCUUUUCUUUAAUCAGGCGUUGUUGCUAGAAGCUGCGAGACGCACCGAUUACAAUUCUUUUUUGGGUGCUGCUGUUGGAUUUAUGUGUGGUUAUCUGCUAGAUGUCCCCUUCUCACAUCGGCCCACAGUGACUAUUUGA
RNAcentral lists this ribosomal RNA (561 nucleotides) under Triticum aestivum (bread wheat). Its description in RNAcentral is "partial small subunit ribosomal RNA". The record is from RNAcentral. Lineage: Eukaryota; Viridiplantae; Streptophyta; Magnoliopsida; Poales; Poaceae.